GAUCCGGCUCAGGAUGAACGCUAGCGGCAGGCUUAACACAUGCAAGUCGAGGGGCAGCAUAAUGGAUAGCAAUAUCUAUGGUGGCGACCGGCGCACGGGUGCGUAACGCGUAUGCAACCUACCUUUAACAGGGGGAUAACACUGAGAAAUUGGUACUAAUACCCCAUAAUAUCAUAGAAGGCAUCUUUUAUGGUUGAAAAUUCCGAUGGUUAGAGAUGGGCAUGCGUUGUAUUAG
RNAcentral lists this ribosomal RNA (235 nucleotides) under uncultured bacterium. Its description in RNAcentral is "partial 16S ribosomal RNA". It matches the Rfam family "Bacterial small subunit ribosomal RNA", at positions 15 to 244 of the family's 1533-position model. The record is from RNAcentral.